UCCCUGGUGGCUCAGAGGUUAAAGCAUCUGCCCGCAAUGCGGUGAGACCCAGGUUUGAUUCCUGGGUCGGGAA
RNAcentral lists this transfer RNA (73 nucleotides) under Bos taurus (domestic cattle). It matches the Rfam family "tRNA". From Rfam's summary of the family: Transfer RNA (tRNA) molecules are approximately 80 nucleotides in length. Their secondary structure includes four short double-helical elements and three loops (D, anti-codon, and T loops). The record is from Rfam by way of RNAcentral. RNAcentral also lists the same sequence under 4 other names. Lineage: Eukaryota; Metazoa; Chordata; Mammalia; Artiodactyla; Bovidae.